UCUCCGUAGGUGAACCUGCGGAGGGAUCAUUACUGAGUGAGGGCCUUCGGGCUCGACCUCCAACCCUUUGUGAACACAACUUGUUGCUUCGGGGGCGACCCUGCCGUUUCGACGGCGAGCGCCCCCGGAGGUCUCCAAACACUGCAUCUCUGCGUCGGAGUUUGAAACAAAUUAAACAAAACUUUCAACCACGGAUCUCUUUGUUCUGGCAUCGAUGAAGAACGCAGC
This 228-nucleotide unclassified non-coding RNA is filed under the name uncultured fungus. Its description in RNAcentral is "sequence contains ITS1, 5.8S rRNA gene". The stretch from base 180 to 228 matches the Rfam family "5.8S ribosomal RNA", at positions 1 to 49 of the family's 154-position model. The record is from RNAcentral. Lineage: Eukaryota; Fungi.